This 380-nucleotide ribosomal RNA is filed under the name uncultured bacterium. RNAcentral describes it as "bacterial SSU rRNA". It matches the Rfam family "Bacterial small subunit ribosomal RNA", at positions 28 to 412 of the family's 1533-position model. The record is from RNAcentral.
GACGAACGCUGGCGGCGUGCUUAACACAUGCAAGUCGAACGGUAAGGCCCUUCGGGGUACACGAGUGGCGAACGGGUGAGUAACACGUGGGUGACCUGCCCUGCACUUCGGGAUAAGCCUGGGAAACUGGGUCUAAUACCGGAUAGGACUCCUGGCUUCAUGGUUGGGGGUGUAAAGCUUUUGCGGUGUGGGAUGGGCCCGCGGCCUAUCAGCUUGUUGGUGGGGUAAUGGCCUACCAAGGCGACGACGGGUAGCCGGCCUGAGAGGGUGACCGGCCACACUGGGACUGAGAUACGGCCCAGACUCCUACGGGAGGCAGCAGUGGGGAAUAUUGCACAAUGGGCGCAAGCCUGAUGCAGCGACGCCGCGUGAGGGAUGAC